GAAGGGAGCUUGCUCCCGGAUGUUAGCGGCGGACGGGUGAGUAACACGUGGGUAACCUGCCUGUAAGACUGGGAUAACUCCGGGAAACCGGAGCUAAUACCGGAUAGUUCCUUGAACCGCAUGGUUCAAGGAUGAAAGACGGUUUCGGCUGUCACUUACAGAUGGACCCGCGGCGCAUUAGCUAGUUGGUGGGGUAAUGGCUCACCAAGGCGACGAUGCGUAGCCGACCUGAGAGGGUGAUCGGCCACACUGGGACUGAGACACGGCCCAGACUCCUACGGGAGGCAGCAGUAGGGAAUCUUCCGCAAUGGACGAAAGUCUGACGGAGCAACGCCGCGUGAGUGAUGAAGGUUUUCGGAUCGUAAAGCUCUGUUGUUAGGGAAGAACAAGUGCGAGAGUAACUGCUCGCACCUUGACGGUACCUAACCAGAAAGCCACGGCUAACUACGUGCCAGCAGCCGCGGUAAUACGUAGGUGGCAAGCGUUGUCCGGAAUUAUUGGGCGUAAAGGGCUCGCAGGCGGUUUCUUAAGUCUGAUGUGAAAGCCCCCGGCUCAACCGGGGAGGGUCAUUGGAAACUGGGAAACUUGAGUGCAGAAGAGGAGAGUGGAAUUCCACGUGUAGCGGUGAAAUGCGUAGAGAUGUGGAGGAACACCAGUGGCGAAGGCGACUCUCUGGUCUGUAACUGACGCUGAGGAGCGAAAGCGUGGGGAGCGAACAGGAUUAGAUACCCUGGUAGUCCACGCCGUAAACGAUGAGUGCUAAGUGUUAGGGGGUUUCCGCCCCUUAGUGCUGCAGCUAACGCAUUAAGCACUCCGCCUGGGGAGUACGGUCGCAAGACUGAAACUCAAAGGAAUUGACGGGGGCCCGCACAAGCGGUGGAGCAUGUGGUUUAAUUCGAAGCAACGCGAAGAACCUUACCAGGUCUUGACAUCCUCUGACAACCCUAGAGAUAGGGCUUUCCCUUCGGGGACAGAGUGACAGGUGGUGCAUGGUUGUCGUC
Molecule: ribosomal RNA, 1001 nt
Filed under: Bacillus sp. SK128
Lineage: Bacteria; Bacillati; Bacillota; Bacilli; Caryophanales; Bacillaceae
Description: bacterial SSU rRNA
Rfam family: Bacterial small subunit ribosomal RNA
Source: RNAcentral